Long non-coding RNA from Gordionus sp. m RMFG-2023, 558 nucleotides. RefSeq lists it as uncharacterized. Lineage: Eukaryota; Metazoa; Nematomorpha; Gordioida; Chordodea; Parachordodidae. The transcript is spliced from 3 exons. The record is from RefSeq and is a predicted model, not a curated record.
CACCAAAACUUUUUUCCCUUUGAAUACAACAAACAAUAUGCUAUGGGCCAGAUGCGACAUAUUCCCUUUAUUGAAGGCAAGAAUAUAGGAAAACUGAACUAGUAGGUCAUAUUCUUAGGCAAGCCCCAAACCUUAUGUAUCAAGCAUUAAUCAAAGUAUCCCCGGAGGAAUCAUCCCACAAAUCAUUUCUAACAUACAAAAAUAGUUGGUUCGGCAGGAUAGCCAGAUCAAUAGCGGAGAUAGGCUUAUUCUGGGAAUUCAUUAAGUGGGCUUCUGCAGAUGGAAGAACCUUUAAAAUUCGCUAAUCUACGAUCAUCUGACGAAUGACUGCUGAGUCGAGAGCUUAAAUCAGAUGGAACAUUUUAACCGUUUUACAUAUAACAACCCCCAAGGUGAUCUAUAUUGUACAAAUCGUUAUUGCGUGACUUCAAAUGGUAUCCGUAUAUUAAUAACUAGGGGCUGAUAGAAUCAGGGCUAUUCGGAUCAAUCAAAUUAGGCUUACAAAUAUGACAUAUUAUAAUAUAUUUAUAUAAUAAUAUAAAAUAAGUAUUCAUUGAC